This 533-nucleotide long non-coding RNA is filed under the name Parus major (Great Tit). RNAcentral's name for it is "lncRNA (ENSPMJG00000003549.1)". The record is from RNAcentral. Lineage: Eukaryota; Metazoa; Chordata; Aves; Passeriformes; Paridae.
CCCUACAAGUGCCUGUAGGGCUGGGAAUAAACAUAUAAAUGUACCCAUGGAAUGGUCUGGAAUGUUCUCUGUGCCCUACAAGUGCCUGUAGGGCUGGGAAUAAACAUAUAAAUGUACCCAUGGAAUGCUCUGUGCCCUACAAAUACCUGUAGGGCUGGGAAUAAACAUAUAAAUGUACCCAUGGAAUGCUCUGUGCCCUACAAGUGCCUGUAGGGCUGGGAUAAACCAUGGAAUGGUCUGGAAUGUUCUCUGCGCCCUACAAAUACCUGUAGGGCUGGGAUAAACCUGUAAAUGUCCCCAUGGAAUGGUCUGGAAUGUUCUCUGUGCCCUACAAGUGCUGUAGGGCCGGGAGUGAAGGUCCCAUGGGGCGUGCUGUGUGACCCCAGCCAUGGUGCCACCAGGGCAGGUGGCACUGCCAGGGAUGGCGUGCAGCCAGGGCUGUGCCCCACAUGUCCCCACAGUGUUCUUGUGCCCCACAGCCUGUCCUUGUGUCCCCACAGUGUUCUUGUGCCCCACACCCUGUCCCCAUGUCC